UAAAUUUUAUGUCCUGAACCUCUGCAAUGUGCUGCAGGAGUGCACGUCUCCUGACUUAUGGGAUCUAGGAAUUAUCGUGAACACAGGGAGUCACAAGUAGCUAAUCCACUUUUCACAGCAUCCGUCUGGUGAGAGAGUAUCCUUCCUGUAAUCAAGACCGAGAGCUUAGUUUAGGUUUUAUUGCAUCUGUGUGAUAUCCAAUUUCCACGUUGCACUUGAAUUUUAUGAGGAAAGACUUUAGUCUAAAAUACUCAGUCCUCUGGAAUUGACCAGUUUUACUUUCAGG
Molecule: long non-coding RNA, 286 nt
Filed under: Suricata suricatta (meerkat)
Lineage: Eukaryota; Metazoa; Chordata; Mammalia; Carnivora; Herpestidae
Description: lncRNA (ENSSSUG00005002572.1)
Source: RNAcentral